Molecule: ribosomal RNA, 465 nt
Filed under: uncultured bacterium
Lineage: Bacteria
Description: partial 16S ribosomal RNA
Rfam family: Bacterial small subunit ribosomal RNA
Source: RNAcentral
GACGAACGCUGGCGGCGUGCUUAACACAUGCAAGUCGAACGGAAAGGCCCUGCUUGCAGGGUACUCGAGUGGCGAACGGGUGAGUAACACGUGGGUGAUCUGCCCUGCACUUCGGGUUAAGCCUGGGCAACUGGGUCUAAUACCGGAUAGGAGCUAUUUUUAGUGUGAUGGUUGGAAAGUUUUUUGGGUGUAGGAUGAGCUCGCGGCGUAUCAGCUUGUUGGGGGGGUAAUGGCCUACCAAGGCGGCGACGGGUGGCCGCCCUGUGAGGGUGGACGGCCACCUUGGGUCUGAGGGACGGCCCAGACACCGACGGGAGGCAGCAGGGGGGAAUACUGAACAAGGGGCGCAGGCCGGAUGCAGCAGGGCCGCGGGGCGUAUGACGGUGUUAUGGUUGUAAACUCCUUUCGCAAGGGACUAAGCUUUUUUUGACGGUACCUAGACAAGAAGCACCGGCUAACUACGUG